GGGAAAUCUAAACGAUAUCAUAAAAAAAGGACGGCGACUGUUUAUUAAAAACACAGGACUUUGCUAAAUAGCCAUUAAUAUGACGUAUAAGGUCUGAAGUCUGUCCAAUGAUAAUAAUUAAAAGAAUUGUUUAGCAUUUUUUAUAGGUUAUAUUCAAAUGACGGCUGUACCUAUAACGGUCUUAAAGUAGCGAAAUUCAUCGCCUGGUAAUUACAGACGUGCAUGAAUGACAUAACGAUCCGUCCUACUGUCUCUAAUAAUAUAUCUAUGAAAUUGAAAUAUUAGUGAAGAUGCUUAUUUUUUUUAGCUAGACGGAAAGACCCUGGCAUUUUCACUGUAAAAUUAUAAUGUUUUGCUUAAUAUUGUACAUAGUAAAGAUGGUAAUUCAAAAAAUUAAUUAUAUAUUAAUAAAAAAUUGAAAUAAAAGUGUAAGACCAUUUGCAUUAUCUUAAUGAAACUAAUUUAUUAUAACCUUAUAAUUAAGGUAGUUUAACUGGGG
RNAcentral lists this ribosomal RNA (499 nucleotides) under uncultured bacterium. RNAcentral describes it as "partial 23S ribosomal RNA". It matches the Rfam family "Bacterial large subunit ribosomal RNA", at positions 1762 to 2279 of the family's 2925-position model. The record is from RNAcentral.